AAGAACGAAAGACGAUCAGAUACCGUCGUAGUUCCGACCAUAAACGAUGCCAACUAGCGAUCCGGCGUCUUUAUUCCCAUGACCCGUCGGGCAGCGUCCGGGAAACCAAAGUCUUUGC
This 118-nucleotide non-coding RNA is filed under the name Gasterosteus aculeatus (three-spined stickleback). RNAcentral describes it as "Eukaryotic small subunit ribosomal RNA". It matches the Rfam family "Eukaryotic small subunit ribosomal RNA", at positions 994 to 1110 of the family's 1831-position model. The record is from Rfam by way of RNAcentral. Lineage: Eukaryota; Metazoa; Chordata; Actinopteri; Perciformes; Gasterosteidae.